GUAAAAUUUAACAAAAAAAUAAAAAAAAUGAGGAGGUCAAACGAAAAUCAAAAACAAAAACAAAAAAUGAACUAAAUGUAUUAUUCAAACACUCAGCACUCACUCCCUCAUAGCCUUCUUUUCUGCUCUCUUCAGAAAAUUUCCUACUUUCUCUGAUUCGUUAACCAUGUCAGACGAGGCGCAUAACUUCGAGUCAAAGGCCGAUACCGAUGCCUCCAAAACUUUCCCUCAGCAGGCUGGUACCAUCCGUAAGAAUGGUUACAUUGUUAUCAAAGGACGCCAUUGAAAGGUUGUUGAAGUUUCAACCUCCAAGACUGGAAAGCAUGGUUAUGCUAAAUGUCACUUCGUUGCCAUUGGCAUCUUCACUGCAAAGAGGCUUGAGGAUAUCGUCCCUUCUUCCAACAAUUGCGAUGUUCCUCAUGUUAAUUACAUUGAUUAUCAGCUUAUAGACAUCUCUAAGGAUGGAUUUGUGACCUUGCUAAAUGAAAAUGGGAGCACUAAGGAUGAUUUAGGCUUCCAACUGAUGAAAAUCUAUUGAAGCAGAUCAAGGAUGGAUUUGUUGAGGGGAAAACUGAUAAAUUUAAUGAUGCUCAUUUCUAGAAGAAUCUAGAAAUACUUGCCUACAAUAUCCUAGAAUUCCUUGGUAAGCAAGUAUAAUAA
Molecule: long non-coding RNA, 660 nt
Filed under: Olea europaea subsp. europaea
Lineage: Eukaryota; Viridiplantae; Streptophyta; Magnoliopsida; Lamiales; Oleaceae
Source: RNAcentral